UGCAAGUCGAACGGUAACGCGGGGCAACCUGGCGACGAGUGGCGAACGGGUGAGUAAUACAUCGGAACGUACCCAGUAGUGGGGGAUAGCCCGGCGAAAGCCGGAUUAAUACCGCAUACGACCUACGGGUGAAAGCGGGGGAUCGCAAGACCUCGCGCUAUUGGAGCGGCCGAUGUCAGAUUAGGUAGUUGGUGGGGUAAAGGCCUACCAAGCCGACGAUCUGUAGCUGGUCUGAGAGGACGACCAGCCACACUGGGACUGAGACACGGCCCAGACUCCUACGGGAGGCAGCAGUGGGGAAUUUUGGACAAUGGGCGCAAGCCUGAUCCAGCCAUGCCGCGUGCGGGAUGAAGGCCUUCGGGUUGUAAACCU
Molecule: ribosomal RNA, 372 nt
Filed under: uncultured beta proteobacterium
Lineage: Bacteria; Pseudomonadati; Pseudomonadota; Betaproteobacteria
Description: bacterial SSU rRNA
Rfam family: Bacterial small subunit ribosomal RNA
Source: RNAcentral